UUCACCGAAGUCAAGCAUCAUUGGGCGUGGUCAGUACUUGGGUGGGUGACCACCUGGGGAACACCGUGUGCCGU
This 74-nucleotide ribosomal RNA is filed under the name Caerostris darwini. Lineage: Eukaryota; Metazoa; Arthropoda; Arachnida; Araneae; Araneidae. The record is from RNAcentral.